GAUGAACGCUAGCGGCAGGCCUAAUACAUGCAAGUCGAGGGGCAGCAUAGUAGCAAUACUGAUGGCGACCGGCGCACGGGUGCGUAACGCGUAUGCAACCUACCUUUUACUGGGGGAUAGCCCGGAGAAAUUCGGAUUAACACCGCAUAAUAAGUUUUAUUGGCAUCAAUGAGAUUUUAAAUAUUUAUAGGUAAAAGAUGGGCAUGCGUCCAAUUAGCUAGUUGGUAGUGUAACGGACUACCAAGGCUAUGAUUGGUAGGGGUUCUGAGAGGAAGGUCCCCCACACUGGUACUGAGAUACGGACCAGACUCCUACGGGAGGCAGCAGUAGGGAAUAUUGGGCAAUGGACGAGAGUCUGACCCAGCCAUGCCGCGUGCAGGAUGAAGGCCUUCUGGGUUGUAAACUGCUUUUGAUCGGGAACAAAGAGGCCAUGCGUGGCAAGUUGAGUGUACCGAUAGAAUAAGCACCGGCUAACUCCGUGCCAGCAGCCGCGGUAAUACGGAGGGUGCAAGCGUUGUCCGGAUUUAUUGGGUUUAAAGGGUGCGUAGGCGGCCCUGUAAGUCAGUGGUGAAAUACUGCAGCUUAACUGUAGCAUUGCCAUUGAUACUGUAGGGCUUGAGUACAGAUGAGGUAGGCGGAAUUGAUGGUGUAGCGGUGAAAUGCAUAGAUACCAUCAAGAACACCGAUUGCGAAGGCAGCUUACUAAGCUGUAACUGACGCUGAGGCACGAAAGCGUGGGGAUCGAACAGGAUUAGAUACCCUGGUAGUCCACGCUGUAAACGAUGAUUACUCGAUGUUCGCGAUAUACUGUGAGCGUCCAAGCGAAAGCGUUAAGUAAUCC
RNAcentral lists this ribosomal RNA (841 nucleotides) under uncultured bacterium. RNAcentral describes it as "bacterial SSU rRNA". It matches the Rfam family "Bacterial small subunit ribosomal RNA", at positions 28 to 870 of the family's 1533-position model. The record is from RNAcentral.